AACUCCCCCCAUCUCACAUUUCAGACACAAUCGAACCUCUCACAGUCCGCUCACCUCUGACCUUUCACAAUUGCGCUCACCUCUAACCUCUCUCACAUCACAGUUCCGAACUCCAUUUCCUAUCAAAACAUAAUAUCUCAACAUCGCAGCAUAUGACAUCUUUAAUUAGGGUUUUGGUGUUCUCGAUUAGGGGAUUUUGUUAACUUCUCGAUUGGGGUUUUGUUCUCGGUUCAAGUUCAAGUCAAGUUCAGUUAUCUCGAUUAGGGUUCUUAAAGUUCUCAAUUAGGACAUCGCGAUAUAUAGGGCUUUGAUUGAUUGAUCCACAGUACAUCUUAUUAAUUUCUGAGUUAGAACUUGAAGAAGUGGUAGAAGAUAUACGACUAAAGUGUGCCAGGUUUCAAAGAAUAUUGACAUCACAGAUUAUAAGAAUCUCUGUGCUGCUGCUUUUCUGUUUCUCAGGUCAUCAGUUUUUUUAAUAAUUGUUUUUGUAUUCCCAUGAAACUCUUCAGGCUUAGCACUGUUGUAUCUGUAAAUGUUGUAAAGAUUCAGAACCUUAUUAUUGCUCAAGAAACUAAUGAAGUUGACGGUAUUGUUUGCUAUGGAUGAGGCUGACCGGAUUAUGAUAAUACCAAGACAAGAAAAUGCGGACGCAGAUUUUUACAGCAUUUACGAUGAUCAAAUAAAUAUGGUUUUGGAGCAGUCGGGAAUACAACCAAGUCUGCAGGUGGCUUUACUACAGUCUACAGGGCAAAGAGAAAGUGUAUGUGAUGGAGUGACACUUGCUCUUAAAUGUUGAAAAUAAGGAGAAAAUGCUUUUGGAUUCAAGAGAAGACUGGUGUUCUACCCGGAAAAAUGCAUGACCUUGUGGUAAUCCAGUCAAGCUAGUUGCCAUCCAUGGGCAUUAUGCAGAUGUAGGUGACUUUUCCGCUCAACUAUCUUGUGCUUUAAAUGCAAGGCCUUGGUGUUUUAUAGGAAGAGGAUCAGAGUGUUAUAAUACCUGUACGUGGGUCUACGAAUCUUGAUUCUUGGAUGGGUGAAUAAUAGUCCUGACAUUUAUAAAGAGCUGAUCAGCCUGGCAUAGAAGACAAUGUACGGAACGAAUAAUGAAGUAGAAAGUCCUGCUUCUAUCAAGAGAAAGAGGACUCUACCCCCUGCAAAAAAGUGGAUAAUAACAUCAUUUACGUAACUCCAAUGCCUUUGCAUUCUUCAAUAGAAAUGAAAUUAUCACUUAGCACCCAACACUUACAUGUAAACUUUAUUUUAGUUGUUUUGAUGUUCUAGUUAGAAAUUAUGAUUGGGUUGCUUUGUAGUUUUCUUGUUUAGGAAGGGAUUUAUGAAUGUACAAGACAGAUAUUGUCAAAUUUUUAUUGAAAGUGUUGCAUUUUACUUUUUUUA
Molecule: long non-coding RNA, 1395 nt
Organism: Daucus carota subsp. sativus
Lineage: Eukaryota; Viridiplantae; Streptophyta; Magnoliopsida; Apiales; Apiaceae
Exons: 6
Source: RefSeq, a predicted model, not a curated record